Molecule: ribosomal RNA, 830 nt
Filed under: Tetragnatha nitens
Lineage: Eukaryota; Metazoa; Arthropoda; Arachnida; Araneae; Tetragnathidae
Description: SSU rRNA
Rfam family: Eukaryotic small subunit ribosomal RNA
Source: RNAcentral
CCAAGGAAGGCAGCAGGCGCGCAAUUACCCACUCCCGGCACGGGGAGGUAGUGACGAAAAAUAACAAUACGGGACUCUUUUGAGACCCCGUAAUUGGAAUGAGUACACUCUAAAUCCUUUAACGAUGAACUAUUGGAGGUAAAGUCUGGUGCCAGCAUCCGCGGUAACUCCAGCUCCAAUAGCGUAUAUUAAAGUUGUUGCGGUUAAAAAGCUCGUAGUUGGAUCUCAGUUUGCUCGCGGGCGGUCCGGCGCGAGCCGGCCUACUGCCCGCGGGCGACCGGCCGCCGGUUUCCGCGGAUGAUCUUCACCGGUUGUCCGUGGUGACCGGCAAGUUUACUUUGAAAAAAUUAGAGUGCUCAAAGCAGGCUGCUAUCGCCUGAAUAAUGGUGCAUGGAAUAAUGGAAUAGGACCUCGGUUCUAUUUUGUUGGUUUUCGGAACGCGAGGUAAUGAUUAAGAGGGACAGACGGGGGCAUUCGUAUUGCGACGCUAGAGGUGAAAUUCUUGGACCGCCGCACGACGAACUACUGCGAAAGCAUUUGCCAAGAAUGUUUCCAUUAAUCAAGAACGAAAGUCAGAGGUUCGAAGGCGAUCAGAUACCGCCCUAGUUCUGACCAUAAACGAUGCCAGCCAGCGAUCCGGCUGCGUUCCUCAAAUGACGCGCCGGGCAGCUUCCGGGAAACCAAAGCUUUUGGGUUCCGGGGGGAGUAUGGUUGCAAAGCUGAAACUUAAAGGAAUUGACGGAAGCGCACACAAGAAAUGGGGCCUGCGGCUUAAUUUGACUCAACACGGUGCAACUCACUCGACCCGGACACAGGAAGGAUUGACAGAU